Molecule: ribosomal RNA, 469 nt
Filed under: uncultured bacterium
Lineage: Bacteria
Description: partial 16S ribosomal RNA
Rfam family: Bacterial small subunit ribosomal RNA
Source: RNAcentral
GACGAACGCUGGCGGCGUGCUUAACACAUGCAAGUCGAACGGUGAAGCGAGUGCUUGCACUCGUGGAUCAGUGGCGAACGGGUGAGUAACACGUGAGUAACCUGCCCAUCACUCUGGGAUAAGCACUGGAAACGGUGUCUAAUACUGGAUACGACCAACCCUUGCAUGGGGUGUUGGUGGAAAGAUUUAUCGGUGAUGGAUGGACUCGCGGCCUAUCAGCUUGUUGGCGGGGUAAUGGCCCACCAAGGCGACGACGGGUAGCCGGCCUGAGAGGGUGACCGGCCACACUGGGACUGAGACACGGCCCAGACUCCUACGGGAGGCAGCAGUGGGGAAUAUUGCACAAUGGGCGAAAGCCUGAUGCAGCGACGCCGCGUGAGGGAUGACGGCCUUCGGGUUGUAAACCUCUUUCAGCAGGGAAGAAGCGAAAGUGACGGUACCCGCAGAAGAAGCACCGGCUAACUACGUG